GAUGAACGCUGGCGGCGUGCUUAAACACAUGCAAAGUCGAGCGAAAGCACCUUGAAGUUUUCGGACCAAAGAGGUGACUGAGCGGCGGACGGGUGAGUAAACGCGUGGGUAAACCUGCCUCAUACAGGGGGAUAAACAGUUAGAAAAUGGCUGCUAAUACCGCAUAAGCGCACAGCAUCGCAUGAUGCCGUGUGAAAAAACUCCGGUGGUAUGGGAUGGACCCGCGUCUGA
Molecule: ribosomal RNA, 231 nt
Filed under: uncultured bacterium
Lineage: Bacteria
Description: partial 16S ribosomal RNA
Rfam family: Bacterial small subunit ribosomal RNA
Source: RNAcentral